UGCGGUAUACUUUAAGUUUAAAAGUUUUUGUUUGCAAUAAGAGAAUGGAUUUUUUGUCCUGUCGCAU
This 67-nucleotide transfer RNA is filed under the name Parantropora penelope. RNAcentral describes it as "tRNA-Ala". Lineage: Eukaryota; Metazoa; Bryozoa; Gymnolaemata; Cheilostomatida; Antroporidae. The record is from RNAcentral.